This 539-nucleotide ribosomal RNA is filed under the name uncultured bacterium. Its description in RNAcentral is "bacterial SSU rRNA". It matches the Rfam family "Bacterial small subunit ribosomal RNA", at positions 356 to 896 of the family's 1533-position model. The record is from RNAcentral.
GAGGAAUAUUGGUCAAUGGGCGCAAGCCUGAACCAGCCAAGUAGCGUGGAGGAUGACUGCCCUAUGGGUUGUAAACUCCUUUUAUGCGGGGAUAAAAUGUUUCACGUGUGAGAUAUUGCAGGUACCGCAUGAAUAAGGACCGGCUAAUUCCGUGCCAGCAGCCGCGGUAAUACGGAAGGUCCGGGCGUUAUCCGGAUUUAUUGGGUUUAAAGGGAGCGCAGACUGCUUGUCAAGCGUGCAGUGAAACGCCGUGGCCCAACCACGGUCCUGCUGCGCGAACUGGCUUGCUUGAGUGGGCCGUAGGUACGCGGAAUUCGUGGUGUAGCGGUGAAAUGCUUAGAUAUCACGAGGAACUCCGAUUGCGAAGGCAGCGUACCAUAUCCCAACUGACGUUUAGGCUCGAAGGUGCGGCUAUCGAACAGGAUUAGAUACCCUGGUAGUCCGCACAGUAAACGAUGGAUGCCCGCUGUUGGUACCUGGUAUCAGCGGCUAAGCGAAAGCAUUAAGCAUCCCACCUGGGGAGUACGCCGGCAACGGUG